UGGGGAAUUUUGGACAAUGGGCGAAAGCCUGAUCCAGCAAUGCCGCGUGUGUGAAGAAGGCCUUCGGGUUGUAAAGCACUUUUGUCCGGAAAGAAAUCCUUGGCUCUAAUACAGUCGGGGGAUGACGGUACCGGAAGAAUAAGCACCGGCUAACUACGUGCCAGCAGCCGCGGUAAUACGUAGGGUGCAAGCGUUAAUCGGAAUUACUGGGCGUAAAGCGUGCGCAGGCGGUUUGCUAAGACCGAUGUGAAAUCCCCGGGCUCAACCUGGGAACUGCAUUGGUGACUGGCAGGCUAGAGUAUGGCAGAGGGGGGUAGAAUUCCACGUGUAGCAGUGAAAUGCGUAGAGAUGUGGAGGAAUACCGAUGGCGAAGGCAGCCCCCUGGGCCAAUACUGACGCUCAUGCACGAAAGCGUGGGGAGCAAACAGGAUUAGAUACCCUGGUAGUCCAGCGCCCUAAACGAUGUCAACUAGUUGUUGGGGAUUCAUUUCCUAGUAACGUAGCUAACGCGUGAAGUUGACCGCCUGGGGAGUACGGUCGCAAGAUUAAAACUCAAAGGAAUUGACGGGUCAUAGCUG
RNAcentral lists this ribosomal RNA (578 nucleotides) under uncultured bacterium. RNAcentral describes it as "partial 16S ribosomal RNA". It matches the Rfam family "Bacterial small subunit ribosomal RNA", at positions 355 to 926 of the family's 1533-position model. The record is from RNAcentral.